UACGUAGGGUGCGAGCGUUGUCCGGAAUUACUGGGCGUAAAGAGCUCGUAGGUGGUUUGUCGCGUUGUUCGUGAAAACCCACAGCUCAACUGUGGGCUUGCGGUCGAUACGGGCAGGCUAGAGUUCGGUAGGGGAGACUGGAAUUCCUGGUGUAGCGGUGAAAUGCGCAGAUAUCAGGAGGAACACCCGUGGCGAAGGCGGCUCUCUGGGACGGUACUGACGCUGAGACGCGAAAGCGUGGGGAGCGAACAGG
RNAcentral lists this ribosomal RNA (253 nucleotides) under uncultured bacterium. Its description in RNAcentral is "partial 16S ribosomal RNA". It matches the Rfam family "Bacterial small subunit ribosomal RNA", at positions 524 to 776 of the family's 1533-position model. The record is from RNAcentral.